UAGGGAAUCUUCCACAAUGGGCGCAAGCCUGAUGGAGCAACGCCGCGUGAGUGAAGAAGGUCUUCGGAUCGUAAAACUCUGUUGUUAGAGAAGAACGUGCAGGAGAGUAACUGUUCUUGUAUUGACGGUAUCUAACCAGAAAGCCACGGCUAACUACGUGCCAGCAGCCGCGGUAAUACGUAGGUGGCAAGCGUUGUCCGGAUUUAUUGGGCGUAAAGGGAACGCAGGCGGUCCUUUAAGUCUGAUGUGAAAGCCUUCGGCUUAACCGAAGAAUUGCAUUGGAAACUGGAGGACUUGAGUGCAGAAGAGGAGAGUGGAACUCCAUGUGUAGCGGUGAAAUGCGUAGAUAUAUGGAAGAACACCAGUGGCGAAAGCGGCUCUCUGGUCUGUAACUGACGCUGAGGUUCGAAAGUGUGGGUAGCAAACAGG
Molecule: ribosomal RNA, 429 nt
Filed under: uncultured bacterium
Lineage: Bacteria
Description: bacterial SSU rRNA
Rfam family: Bacterial small subunit ribosomal RNA
Source: RNAcentral